AUACGGAGGGUGCAAGCGUUAAUCGGAAUUACUGGGCGUAAAGCGCACGCAGGCGGUUUGUUAAGUCAGAUGUGAAAUCCCCGGGCUCCACCUGGGAACUGCAUCUGAUACCGGCAAGCUUGAGUCUCGUAGAGGGGGGUAGAAUUCCAGGGGUAGCGGUGAAAUGCGUAGAGAUCUGGAGGAAUAACGGUGGCGAAGGCGGCCCCCUGGACGAAGACUGACGCUCAGGUGCGAAAGCGUGGGGAGCAAACAGGAUUAGAUCCCCUGGUAGUCCACGCCGUAAACGAUGUCGACUUGGAGGUUGUGCCCUUGAGGCGUGGCUUCCGGAGCUAACGCGUUAAGUCGACCGCCUGGGGAGUACGGCCGCAAGGUUAAAACUCAAAUGAAUUGGCGGGG
RNAcentral lists this ribosomal RNA (396 nucleotides) under uncultured bacterium. RNAcentral describes it as "partial 16S ribosomal RNA". It matches the Rfam family "Bacterial small subunit ribosomal RNA", at positions 523 to 918 of the family's 1533-position model. The record is from RNAcentral.